Long non-coding RNA from Eleginops maclovinus (Patagonian blennie), 399 nucleotides. RefSeq lists it as uncharacterized. NCBI's taxonomy places the organism in Eukaryota, Metazoa, Chordata, Actinopteri, Perciformes, Eleginopidae. The record is from RefSeq and is a predicted model, not a curated record. The transcript has 3 exons.
GACCCUAUUGCCCAACAUCACAUGCCUUCAGUGCAGGGAUUUGAUCUGAGAUAAGGGAAGAAAGUACCGAAAAAAGACUCCGUCUCCUGAUUCCUUUUGCCGAUCGUUCAGUGUUGAGUCCGCCCACUGGUCAUCUCACAGUCUAUGAGGCAUCUGCAUAGACUGCACAAACCUUCCCCACAUCAAUGAGAGGCAAAAAGCAGGCCUGAGAACAAAGCAGGCCGGAGCCAAAAAAAACCACAUUGUGUUUGGUGCAAUUCAGCUCUGUGUGGGAGGAUGGAUGAAGGCAGCCAGAGGCUACACUAUGACAGAGAGGCAAGCAGGUGGAGGGGGAGGAGACGCUGAUGGGAAAACAGGAGUGUAACACAUCAGUGAAGAUUCAAUGAAAAGCAGACCAGC